CCUGCCGCAGUGCUCACGUGAUGGCGCAGCGCCCCCGCGCUUUUCGGCUUCUCCGACAUCGAAACAAACGCCGGGGGCCGACAAGUGAACCCAUCGUUAAUACGAGGACCAUAACCGCUGCUUACGUUAGGUUUGUUGAAUAAGUUCAUAAACUCAUCAACAAAAUCAAGUGCAUCAACAAAAGGAACAUCAUGUUCGAAGGCGUUGUAGCAUACGCACUGAAUAAAUACCUGGGACGUUUUGUGGAAGAUUUGGACAGCGAACAACUGAAUGUUGGAAUUUUUAGCGGAACUGUCCACUCGACCGUCCUGCAUCUCAAGGCGGAAGCUCUGACCGGCUGGAUCUUCCCGUCGAAGUGAAAGGAGGCUGCAUGGGUAAGAUUUCUAUCGAUAUACAUAGGACGUCAUUAUAUUACGAGCCUGUACUCGUGCACGUGGAAGAAGUGUUGAUUUUGGCAGGACCCAUAGUUGACCGGAAGUACGAUCCUGAAAAGGAGAAACGAUUAUGCAGGGCUCUCAGGAGCAGGAGACUCGAGGACGCCCAGCCGCCAGACCCAGACGGUCCAGGUGUUUCUGCCAGCAUUUCUUAAAUAUUGAUUCCAGCUAUCAUAUUAUUCUUAUUUUUAGAUACAAACGAAAAAUAAAUUGAGGUACUUACGUAUUAUCACAACCAUCUUAGUAGAAAACGCCAAAUUUUCACGCUCUAGCAGCCAUGCGCAUAAGUACACUUCAGAAAACCAUGCCUUCUUUUUAUUGUAGUUCAAGUUUCGACGGUUUUCAAUUUCGAAGGAACUAUCGAUUUCGACGAGUUUCGAAUGCAAAUUUCGACCAGUACCGAGUAUAAAUUUCGUCUAGUUUCAAGCCAAAUUUCGACGAGUUUCGAGUCCAAAUUUCGACGGGUUUCGAGUCCGAAUUUCGAGGAGUUUCGAGUCCAAAUUUCAGCGAGUUUCAAGCCAAAUUUCGACGUGUUUCGAGUCCGAAUUUCGAAUGCCUUAUGCUCUGUAUUAGUUUUCCGCGAAUAUUUCGAAAGCGGUUAAGAAAUCGGCCGAAGCAGAUGGUGAUUUUCCGAAUAAGUAAAUAAAUAAAUAAAAAUAACUGGUAGUAAAACAAAUAUUAGUUGUUCUAACUCUGUUAGAUUACUGUUAAGAUCGUAUUAAUUUUCUCCUUAGAAGAACGAACAAUUUUCCAGAAGAGUGUAGAAUCUUAAUAGCAGAAUUCGAAUUUGCUCUUUAUCAGCUUUUCGCGAAAACUUCGAAAAAAAAAAAAAAGUUCUCCGUCCUCUUAAAUGAAGCCUCUUCACUCUGCGUAAAGCCCGGACAAAGCCGCGUAAUUCAGCUAAUUAGUAAUAAAUUUUCGUUCGUGAGCGUUUUAAAAGAACAAAUGCUGUUAAGCAAUACAACCGUACGCGGAACCAUUCGACGAAUCAUCAAUUAUAGUUUCACGUUUCCGGAUAUACGCUUUAUUGCACUACAUAAUGACACCAAAUUAUUUCCCGACUCGUUUUCUCAGAUAUAUUUCGCUUGAAAGUUAGGUUAUUUAAAUUGGCAGCUUAAAUAGUUGUUUAGCAUUCAAGCACGCGGAACUUAUAUCAGGAAAAGAUGAAUUUUUUUAACAGUUUUUGUUAAAAAUAUAUAAGAGUGUAGGAAAUAAUAAAAAAAUAAAUUCUGAAAGAUUUCAGAUUUUACAUUACGCCCAAAGGGGCGUUUU
Stegodyphus dumicola is the source of this 1706-nucleotide long non-coding RNA. The record is from RefSeq and is a predicted model, not a curated record. NCBI's taxonomy places the organism in Eukaryota, Metazoa, Arthropoda, Arachnida, Araneae, Eresidae.